This is a ribosomal RNA of 377 nucleotides. It matches the Rfam family "Eukaryotic small subunit ribosomal RNA", at positions 582 to 975 of the family's 1831-position model.
AUUCCAGCUCCAAUAGCGUAUAUUAAAGUUGUUGCAGUUAAAAAGCUCGUAGUUGAACUUCUGAUAGUUGAUUUGGCUGGCUUCGGUCGCCUUGUUGGCUGUCAUCCGCUUGGGAAUUUCGUUCGGUCUUCAUUGAUUGGCGGGGGGAUCAAGCAUUUUACUUUGAAAAAAUUAGAGUGUUCAAGGCAGGCUAUCGCCAUGAAUACACAAGCAUGGAAUAAUGGAAUAGGACUCUCAGUCAUUUUAUUGGUUAUUGACUGAAAGUAAUGAUUAAUAGGGACAGUUGGGGGCAUUCGUAUUUAAUUGUCAGAGGUGAAAUUCUUGGAUUUAUUAAAGACGAACUUAUGCGAAAGCAUUUGCCAAGGAUGUUUUCAUUA